AUACGGAGGGUGCAAGCGUUACUCGGGAUCACUGGGCGUAAAGCGCGCGCAGGCGGGCUGAUAAGUUGGAUGUGAAAGCCUACGGCUCAACCGUAGACCUGCAUCCAAAACUGUCAGUCUAGAGUGUGGGAGAGGAAGAUGGAAUUAGUUGUGUAGGGGUAAAAUCCGUAGAGAUAACUAGGAAUACCAAAAGCGAAGGCAAUCUUCUGGAACACUACUGACGCUGAGGCGCGAAGGCGUGGGGAGCAAACAGGAUUAGAAACCCGAGUAGUCC
Molecule: ribosomal RNA, 274 nt
Filed under: uncultured bacterium
Lineage: Bacteria
Description: partial 16S ribosomal RNA
Rfam family: Bacterial small subunit ribosomal RNA
Source: RNAcentral